This is a non-coding RNA of Rhodocyclales bacterium, 204 nucleotides long. The record is from Rfam. NCBI's taxonomy places the organism in Bacteria, Pseudomonadati, Pseudomonadota, Betaproteobacteria, Rhodocyclales.
GUCGCCGCGAGGCGGGGUUUAUCGGGGCGCCCAAUCCAAAGCUGCGGGGCGAUGAACAAAAACCGGAUAUGAGGCGUGAUGCAUCCGGGACCAGCGGGCACGUGUCCGCGAAGUCCUCCAUCUGCGGCAGUAGAGUACAUUUUGUCCCACCAGGGGAUUACCUUCGGGGCAUAAAUCCGGCGUCUAUGCAGUGAAGGUAACGCG